CCUUCGGGUUGUAAAGUACUUUCAGCAGUGAGGAAGGUGGGUAUGUUAAUAGCAUAUUCAUUUGACGUUAGCUGCAGAAGAAGCACCGGCUAACUCCGUGCCAGCAGCCGCGGUAAUACGGAGGGUGCGAGCGUUAAUCGGAAUUUACGUCGGGACGUAAAGCGCAUGCAGGUGGUUUGUUAAGUCAGAUGUGAAAGGCCCGGGGCUCUAACCUCGGAAUUGCUAUUUGAAACUGGCAAACUAGAGUACUGUAGAGGGGGUAGAAUUUCAGGUGUAGCGGUGAAAUGCGUAGAGAUCUGAAGGAAUACCGGUGGCGAAGGCGGCCCCCUGGACAGAUACUGACACUCAGAUGCGAAAGCGUGGGGAGCAAACAGGAUUAGAUACCCUGGUAG
This 392-nucleotide ribosomal RNA is filed under the name uncultured bacterium. Its description in RNAcentral is "bacterial SSU rRNA". It matches the Rfam family "Bacterial small subunit ribosomal RNA", at positions 415 to 793 of the family's 1533-position model. The record is from RNAcentral.